Molecule: ribosomal RNA, 254 nt
Filed under: uncultured bacterium
Lineage: Bacteria
Description: partial 16S ribosomal RNA
Rfam family: Bacterial small subunit ribosomal RNA
Source: RNAcentral
UACGAAGGGGGCUAGCGUUGUUCGGAAUUACUGGGCGUAAAGGGCGCGUAGGCGGUUUGUACAGUCAGACGUGAAAUUCCUGGGCUCAACCUGGGGGGCUGCGUUUGAUACGUGCAGACUUGAGUUCGGAAGAGGGUCGUGGAAUUCCCAGUGUAGAGGUGAAAUUCGUAGAUAUUGGGAAGGACACCGGUGGCGAAGGCGGCGACCUGGUCCGAUACUGACGCUGAGGCGCGAAAGCGUGGGGAGCAAACAGG